UUGGACCUGAUACCAGUCCCAUUUAAUUGGCCC
RNAcentral lists this ribosomal RNA (33 nucleotides) under Phytophthora colocasiae. Its description in RNAcentral is "partial 28S ribosomal RNA". Lineage: Eukaryota; Oomycota; Peronosporomycetes; Peronosporales; Peronosporaceae. The record is from RNAcentral.